GACAGGGGGUGCAAACGUUGCUCGGAAUCACUGGGCGUAAAGCGCACGUAGGCGGUUCCGUAAGUCAGAUGUGAAAGCCCUCGGCUCACCCGAGGAACUGCGUCUGAUACUGCGGGGCUUGAGGACGGGAGGGGAGAGUGGAAUUCCUGGUGGAGCGGUGAAAUGCGUAGAUAUCAGGAGGAACACCGGUGGCGAAAGCGACUCUCUGGUCCGUUCCUGACGCUGAGGUGCGAGAGCUAGGGGAGCAAACGGG
This 253-nucleotide ribosomal RNA is filed under the name uncultured bacterium. RNAcentral describes it as "partial 16S ribosomal RNA". It matches the Rfam family "Bacterial small subunit ribosomal RNA", at positions 524 to 776 of the family's 1533-position model. The record is from RNAcentral.